GGGUGGUUAGCUCAGCGGUAGAGCACUGUCUUCACACGGCAGGGGUCGCUGGUUCGAACCCAGUACCACCCACCA
RNAcentral lists this transfer RNA (75 nucleotides) under Betaproteobacteria bacterium RIFCSPLOWO2_12_FULL_62_58. Its description in RNAcentral is "tRNA-Val". It matches the Rfam family "tRNA". Rfam says of the family: Transfer RNA (tRNA) molecules are approximately 80 nucleotides in length. Their secondary structure includes four short double-helical elements and three loops (D, anti-codon, and T loops). Further hydrogen bonds mediate the characteristic L-shaped molecular structure. tRNAs have two regions of fundamental functional importance: the anti-codon, which is responsible for specific mRNA codon recognition, and the 3' end, to which the tRNAs corresponding amino acid is attached (by aminoacyl-tRNA synthetases). tRNAs cope with the degeneracy of the genetic code in two manners: having more than one tRNA (with a specific anti-codon) for a particular amino acid; and 'wobble' base-pairing, i.e. permitting non-standard base-pairing at the 3rd anti-codon position. RNAcentral also lists the same sequence under 1 other name. Lineage: Bacteria; Pseudomonadati; Pseudomonadota; Betaproteobacteria. The record is from RNAcentral.